AUUCCUGAUUGCACACGAUGGGGAUAGCGAAAGUCGAAUGCCCCCUCCUUGGCUAUAUGCUGGCUAGCAGUCACCAAAAAGACCUAAUCGGUAGACCACCACUAUCUUCCAAAGCUUUCAUAAUUGAAUGGAGGUGGAAGGGCCACAGCUGGUGCUCCUCCCACCAAAUCUAGGCUGACAGUUGUUGGAAGACCACAAUCAACGGACUGCCACCCCUUCCC
RNAcentral lists this long non-coding RNA (221 nucleotides) under Elaeis guineensis (African oil palm). RNAcentral's name for it is "long non-coding RNA (EGUI_LNC023116)". The record is from RNAcentral. Lineage: Eukaryota; Viridiplantae; Streptophyta; Magnoliopsida; Arecales; Arecaceae.